CAGCCGCCACGGUAAUACGUAGGGUGCGAGCGUUAAUCGGAAUUACUGGGCGUAAAGCGUGCGCAGGCGGUUGUGUAAGACAGGUGUGAAAUCCCCGGGCUUAACCUGGGAACUGCAUUUGUGACUGGCGGGCUAGAGUAUGGCAGAGGGGGGUAGAAUUCCACGUGUAGCAGUGAAAUGCGUAGAGAUGUGGAGGAAUACCGAUGGCGAAGGCAGCCCCCCGGGCCAAUACUGACGCUCAUGCACGAAAGCGUGGGGAGCAAACAGGAUUAGAUACCCCCGUAGUCCCUGUCUCUUAUAA
Molecule: ribosomal RNA, 301 nt
Filed under: uncultured bacterium
Lineage: Bacteria
Description: partial 16S ribosomal RNA
Rfam family: Bacterial small subunit ribosomal RNA
Source: RNAcentral